GACGAACGCUGGCGGCGUGCCUAAUACAUGCAAGUAGAACGCUGAAGAGAGGAGCUUGCUCUUCUUGGAUGAGUUGCGAACGGGUGAGUAACGCGUAGGUAACCUGCCUUGUAGCGGGGGAUAACUAUUGGAAACGAUAGCUAAUACCGCAUAACAAUGGAUGACACAUGUCAUUUAUUUGAAAGGGGCAAUUGCUCCACUACAAGAUGGACCUGCGUUGUAUUAGCUAGUAGGUGAGGUAACGGCUCACCUAGGCGACGAUACAUAGCCGACCUGAGAGGGUGAUCGGCCACACUGGGACUGAGACACGGCCCAGACUCCUACGGGAGGCAGCAGUAGGGAAUCUUCGGCAAUGGGGGCAACCCUGACCGAGCAACGCCGCGUGAGUGAAGAAGGUUUUCGGAUCGUAAAGCUCUGUUGUAAGUCAAGAACGAGUGUGAGAGUGGAAAGUUCACACUGUGACGGUAGCUUACCAGAAAGGGACGGCUAACUACGUGCCAGCAGCCGCGGUAAUACGUAGGUCCCGAGCGUUGUCCGGAUUUAUUGGGCGUAAAGCGAGCGCAGGCGGUUUGAUAAGUCUGAAGUUAAAGGCUGUGGCUCAACCAUAGUUCGCUUUGGAAACUGUCAAACUUGAGUGCAGAAGGGGAGAGUGGAAUUCCAUGUGUAGCGGUGAAAUGCGUAGAUAUAUGGAGGAACACCGGUGGCGAAAGCGGCUCUCUGGUCUGUAACUGACGCUAAGGCUCGAAAGCGUGGGGAGCGAACAGGAUUAGAUACCCUGGUAGUCCACGCCGUAAACGAUGAGUGCUAGGUGUUGGAUCCUUUCCGGGAUUCAGUGCCGCAGCUAACGCAUUAAGCACUCCGCCUGGGGAGUACGACCGCAAGGUUGAAACUCAAAGGAAUUGACGGGGGCCCGCACAAGCGGUGGAGCAUGUGGUUUAAUUCGAAGCAACGCGAAGAACCUUACCAGGUCUUGACAUCCCGAUGCUAUUUCUAGAGAUAGAAAGUUACUUCGGUACAUCGGUGACAGGUGGUGCAUGGUUGUCGUCAGCUCGUGUCGUGAGAUGUUGGGUUAAGUCCCGCAACGAGCGCAACCCCUAUUGUUAGUUGCCAUCAUUCAGUUGGGCACUCUAGCGAGACUGCCGGUAAUAAACCGGAGGAAGGUGGGGAUGACGUCAAAUCAUCAUGCCCCUUAUGACCUGGGCUACACACGUGCUACAAUGGUUGGUACAACGAGUUGCGAGUCGGUGACGGCAAGCUAAUCUCUUAAAGCCAAUCUCAGUUCGGAUUGUAGGCUGCAACUCGCCUACAUGAAGUCGGAAUCGCUAGUAAUCGCGGAUCAGCACGCCGCGGUGAAUACGUUCCCGGGCCU
RNAcentral lists this ribosomal RNA (1369 nucleotides) under uncultured bacterium. Its description in RNAcentral is "bacterial SSU rRNA". It matches the Rfam family "Bacterial small subunit ribosomal RNA", at positions 28 to 1381 of the family's 1533-position model. The record is from RNAcentral.